UCAGAACUCAACAUGGACAUGAGGGCCCAUACUCAGUUUAUUGGGUUCUUGUGGCUCUGGUUUGCAGGUGCCAGAUGCGACAUCCAGAUGACCCAGUCUCCAUCCUCCAUGUCUGCAUCUCUGGGAGACAGAGUCACUAUUACUUGCCGGGCAAGUCAAGACAUUGGAAAUUAUUUAAGCUGGUUCCAACAGAAACCAGGGAAAUCUCCUAGGCGUAUGAUUUAUGGUGCAACCAACUUGGCAGCUGGGGUCCCAUCAAGGUUCAGUGGAAGUAGGUCUGGAUCAGAUUAUUCUCUGACCAUCAGCAGCCUGGAGUCUGAAGAUAUGGCGAUCUAUUACUGUCUACAGUCUAUACAGUAUCCUCCCACAGUGAUACAAGUGAUAACAUAAACCCCAAGGAAGCAGAAGUGAGAGUCUUGGUUGUCCUAUCUGUCUCUCUUCAUGAUUCACCCACUCUAAGCAUUUUUCAGAAGUCACAAUCAGAAUCUGACAGUACAUCAAAAAGGCAGUACUUGAGUAAGUCCAUUACUUAAAGACCAGGUGAUUUGUAUUUCUAAUUAAAGCUACGC
RNAcentral lists this long non-coding RNA (569 nucleotides) under Rattus norvegicus (Norway rat). Its description in RNAcentral is "long non-coding RNA NONRATT031763". Lineage: Eukaryota; Metazoa; Chordata; Mammalia; Rodentia; Muridae. The record is from RNAcentral.